This 497-nucleotide ribosomal RNA is filed under the name uncultured bacterium. Its description in RNAcentral is "partial 16S ribosomal RNA". It matches the Rfam family "Bacterial small subunit ribosomal RNA", at positions 28 to 507 of the family's 1533-position model. The record is from RNAcentral.
GAUGAACGCUGGCGGCGUGCCUAAUACAUGCAAGUCGAGCGAGCAGACGAGGAGCUUGCUCCUCUGACGUUAGCGGCGGACGGGUGAGUAACACGUGGAUAACCUACCUAUAAGACUGGGAUAACUUCGGGAAACCGGAGCUAAUACCGGAUAAUAUAUUGAACCGCAUGGUUCAAUAGUGAAAGACGGUUUUGCUGUCACUUAUAGAUGGAUCCGCGCCGCAUUAGCUAGUUGGUAAGGUAACGGCUUACCAAGGCAACGAUGCGUAGCCGACCUGAGAGGGUGAUCGGCCACACUGGAACUGAGACACGGUCCAGACUCCUACGGGAGGCAGCAGUAGGGAAUCUUCCGCAAUGGGCGAAAGCUUGACGGAGCAACGCCGCGUGAGUGAUGAAGGUCUUCGGAUCGUAAAACUCUGUUAUUAGGGAAGAACAAUUGUGUAAGUAACUAUGCACGUCUUGACGGUACCUAAUCAGAAAGCCACGGCUAACUACGUG